GAUGAACGCUGGCGGCGCGCCUAAUACAUGCAAGUCGAGCGAACAGACCAGGUGCUUGCUCCUCUGACGUUAGCGGCGGACGGGUGCGUAACACGUGGAUAAACUACCUAUAAGACUGGGAUACCCAUGGGAAACCGGCGUUACUACCGGAUAAUUUAUUGACUCGCAUGGUUCACCAGUGAAAGAAGCUUUUGCCGUCACUUAUAGACGGAUCCGCGCCGCAUUAGUUAGUUGGUAUGGUAACGGCUUACCAAGGCAACGAUGCGUACCCGUCCUGAAAGAGUGGUCAGCCAUCAAGGAGGUGAGAAGCAGGCCAGACACCUGCAGGAGGCAACAGAUAGGACUCUUCCGCAAUAGUCGAAAGCCUGAUGGAGCAAUCCCGCGUGAGUAAUGAAGGUCUUCGGAUCGUAAAACGCUGUUGUUAGUGGAGAUCAAAUGUGUAGUUAACUGUGCUCGUCGUAACAGUACCUGAUCAGAAAGCCACGGCUAACUACGUG
Molecule: ribosomal RNA, 497 nt
Filed under: uncultured bacterium
Lineage: Bacteria
Description: partial 16S ribosomal RNA
Rfam family: Bacterial small subunit ribosomal RNA
Source: RNAcentral